This 253-nucleotide ribosomal RNA is filed under the name uncultured bacterium. Its description in RNAcentral is "partial 16S ribosomal RNA". It matches the Rfam family "Bacterial small subunit ribosomal RNA", at positions 524 to 776 of the family's 1533-position model. The record is from RNAcentral.
UACGAAGGGAGCUAGCGUUGUUCGGAAUCACUGGGCGUAAAGCGCACGUAGGCGGAUUUGUAAGUCAGGGGUGAAAUCCCGGGGCUCAACCUCGGAACUGCCCUUGAUACUGCAAAUCUCGAGUCCGAUAGAGGUGGGUGGAAUUCCUAGUGUAGAGGUGAAAUUCGUAGAUAUUAGGAAGAACACCGGUGGCGAAGGCGGCCCACUGGAUCGGUACUGACGCUGAGGUGCGAAAGCGUGGGGAGCAAACAGG